AGUGCCCAGAAGCUCUACUCUCUGGAGCUGCUCAGCCCCUGAAGCAUUGUUGGGUGUCACAGGGGAGUGGUAUUGGUCCCUGCAGGGAGGAAAGAGCUGUUUCUUGCUUCCUGGCUGCUAUGCCUACCUC
Manis pentadactyla (Chinese pangolin) is the source of this 130-nucleotide small nucleolar RNA. RefSeq annotates it as small nucleolar RNA SNORA17. The record is from RefSeq and is a predicted model, not a curated record. NCBI's taxonomy places the organism in Eukaryota, Metazoa, Chordata, Mammalia, Pholidota, Manidae. The transcript has a single exon.